Long non-coding RNA from Paramacrobiotus metropolitanus, 1034 nucleotides. RefSeq lists it as uncharacterized. The record is from RefSeq and is a predicted model, not a curated record. The transcript has 4 exons. Lineage: Eukaryota; Metazoa; Tardigrada; Eutardigrada; Parachela; Macrobiotidae.
GACCAACCAGUGCAGUAUGGAGUUCCUGGUGCAGGGUAUGUCUACUUGCAUUUAGACAGCAGCCGCUGGUACGAUAUCCCAACACCCCGGCGAACAUAGCGUGUAACAGCAUCAACCAUGUGAUCAUCCGGCAAAUUCUCCAGUAUCAGCGGAUCGAACCUGCCGGGAUGGUAGAUGUGCGGGUUAGAGAGGAGCGCUUCUGCGGGCAGCAGAACGAUAUGCGCACUGUGAUUAUCAGCCCGGUGGCGGUGUCGGUCAAUAUCACGUUUGUGAGGGCCUCCGUUGGCGGGAGCAGAGCAGUUUGAUAUCACGCUGGAAGCAAUUCCGCAGAUAGCCGCACACUGUGGCUCCUCCUCCAUGAACGUGUCCAUCGUGAAGCAGAAGCUAGCCGGUUGGAACAACGGCACAUGGACCGCACAAGUCGUCAACCAAUCGCUGAUGAUUCCGCCGUCAUCUGCUGACCAGCAGUGUCGUGCUGUACAAAACGACAUCCAGAGUCGUUCCACGGAUUUUUUCCAAUUUGUCUUUGAUGCCACACGCUGUCCGCGCAUCUUCAACACGGAUACAGAUAACUACACCUUAUCCUAAAGUCUUGGUGGCCCGGGUGAACAAGUGGAUAUCGGCGCAGUGCAGAUUGAGUAUCGCGAUCAAUUCCUCAUUCCCAUUCGCUGCUAUUUGAAAAUGGAUCCGACCGGAGCAGGCUGGAGAUGUUAACAGCGGGGAUGUUCUUCCGUUUGAGGAUAUUUCGGAAACCAUCGUUGUACCGUACAGAGUAAAUGUAUAUCGGGAUUCCAGUCUCCAAGUUCCAUUUCAAUAUCUGACCUUUAACAACGGGGAAACGGCGUUUUAUUUGGUGGCGACACCUAUGGAUACCGGGACACCGGUCAACAGUAUUCAGACAGAGGUUCAGCGCUGUCUAGCUAGGAAAUCAGACGGUUCAAACGAAAACAACGACAUUGUAUUAUAUAAUUCGGGGUGCGCAUUUGCAUAGGCACUUGCUGAUUCUCAUCGGAAUUUAAGCAGACACCGAAAAU